AGUCUUAUAUUCAAUAAUGAUUAUAAAUUGCAAAUUUAUAGGUGGAUUCAUCCUAAGGCUU
Molecule: transfer RNA, 61 nt
Filed under: Cucujoidea sp. 10 KM-2017
Lineage: Eukaryota; Metazoa; Arthropoda; Insecta; Coleoptera
Description: tRNA-Cys
Source: RNAcentral